GACGAACGCUGGCGGCGUGCUUAACACAUGCAAGUCGAACGGAAAGGCCCUGCUUUUGUGGGGUGCUCGAGUGGCGAACGGGUGAGUAACACGUGAGUAACCUGCCCUUGACUUUGGGAUAACUUCAGGAAACUGGGGCUAAUACCGGAUAGGAGCUCCUGCUGCAUGGUGGGGGUUGGAAAGUUUCGGCGGUUGGGGAUGGACUCGCGGCUUAUCAGCUUGUUGGUGGGGUAGUGGCUUACCAAGGCUUUGACGGGUAGCCGGCCUGAGAGGGUGACCGGCCACAUUGGGACUGAGAUACGGCCCAGACUCCUACGGGAGGCAGCAGUGGGGAAUAUUGCACAAUGGGCGGAAGCCUGAUGCAGCAACGCCGCGUGCGGGAUGACGGCCUUCGGGUUGUAAACCGCUUUCGCCUGUGACGAAGCGUGAGUGACGGUAAUGGGUAAAGAAGCACCGGCUAACUACGUGCCAGCAGCCGCGGUGAUACGUAGGGUGCGAGCGUUGUCCGGAUUUAUUGGGCGUAAAGGGCUCGUAGGUGGUUGAUCGCGUCGGAAGUGUAAUCUUGGGGCUUAACCCUGAGCGUGCUUUCGAUACGGGUUGACUUGAGGAAGGUAGGGGAGAAUGGAAUUCCUGGUGGAGCGGUGGAAUGCGCAGAUAUCAGGAGGAACACCAGUGGCGAAGGCGGUUCUCUGGGCCUUUCCUGACGCUGAGGAGCGAAAGCGUGGGGAGCGAACAGGCUUAGAUACCCUGGUAGUCCACGCUGUAAACGGUGGGUACUAGGUGUGGGGUCCAUUCCACGGGUUCCGUGCCGUAGCUAACGCUUUAAGUACCCCGCCUGGGGAGUACGGCCGCAAGGCUAAAACUCAAAGGAAUUGACGGGGCCCCGCACAAGCGGCGGAGCAUGCGGAUUAAUUCGAUGCAACGCGUAGAACCUUACCUGGGUUUGACAUGGAUCGGGAGCGCUCAGAGAUGGGUGUGCCUCUUUUGGGGUCGGUUCACAGGUGGUGCAUGGCUGUCGUCAGCUCGUGUCGUGAGAUGUUGGGUUAAGUCCCGCAACGAGCGCAACCCUUGUUCACUGUUGCCAGCACGUUAUGGUGGGGACUCAGUGGAGACCGCCGGGGUCAACUCGGAGGAAGGUGGGGAUGACGUCAAGUCAUCAUGCCCCUUAUGUCCAGGGCUUCACGCAUGCUACAAUGGCUGGUACAGAGAGUGGCGAGCCUGUGAGGGUGAGCGAAUCUCGGAAAGCCGGUUUCAGUUCGGAUUGGGGUCUGCAACUCGACCUCAUGAAGUCGGAGUCGCUAGUAAUCGCAGAUCAGCAACGCUGCGGUGAAUACGUUCCCGGG
This 1343-nucleotide ribosomal RNA is filed under the name uncultured bacterium. RNAcentral's name for it is "16S ribosomal RNA". It matches the Rfam family "Bacterial small subunit ribosomal RNA", at positions 28 to 1378 of the family's 1533-position model. The record is from RNAcentral.